AGAAUGAACGUUGGCGGCGUGGAUUAGGCAUGCAAGUCGAACGGGCCUGGUUUUCGGAUCAGGUCAGUGGCGCAAGGGUGAGUAAGGCGACGGCAACCAACCCCAUGGUUGGGCAUAGCCGCGGGAAACUGCGGGUAAUUCCCAGCGAUGUUCAUGUCGGGCAUCCGAUGUGAACCAAAGUUCAGGCGCCGUGGGACGGGCCGUCGUGGUAUUAGGUAGUUGGCGGGGUAAUGGCCCACCAAGCCUAUGAUGCCUACCGGGCGUGCGAGCGUGGCCCGGCACACUGGGACUGAGACACUGCCCAGACUCCUACGGGAGGCUGCAGUCGAGAAUCUUCGGCAAUGGGCGCAAGCCUGACCGAGCGACGCCGCGUGGAGGAUGAAGGCCUUCGGGUUGUAAACUCCUGUCGAGGGGGAGGAAGGGGUAACCUUGACCGAUCCCUGGAGGAAGCACGGGCUAAGUUCGUGCCAGCAGCCGCGGUAAGACGAACCGUGCUAACGUUAUUCGGAAUCACUGGGCUUAAAGCGCGUGUAGGCGGAUGGGGACGUCGGUUGUUGAAAGCCCCCGGCUCAACCGGGGAACUGGCGCCGAAACGCCCUGUCUGGAGGGACGUAGGGGGACCUGGAACUUCCGGUGGAGCGGUGAAAUGCGUUGAGAUCGGAAGGAACGCCCGUGGCGAAAGCGAGGUCCUGGACGUUUUCUGACGCUGAGACGCGAAAGCUAGGGGAGCGAACGGGAUUAGAUGCCCCGGUAGUCCUGGCCGUAAACGAUGGGUACUAGGGUCGCGGGUAUCGACCCCCGCUGUCCGAAGCUAACGCAAUAAGUACCCCGCCUGGGGAGUACGUUCGCAAGAAUGAA
RNAcentral lists this ribosomal RNA (858 nucleotides) under uncultured bacterium. RNAcentral's name for it is "bacterial SSU rRNA". It matches the Rfam family "Bacterial small subunit ribosomal RNA", at positions 26 to 898 of the family's 1533-position model. The record is from RNAcentral.